Bubalus bubalis (water buffalo) is the source of this 547-nucleotide long non-coding RNA. RefSeq lists it as uncharacterized. The transcript has 3 exons. NCBI's taxonomy places the organism in Eukaryota, Metazoa, Chordata, Mammalia, Artiodactyla, Bovidae. The record is from RefSeq and is a predicted model, not a curated record.
GUAGGUGCCUAUCUCUUUAAGAGAGCCUCCGCACACGUGAUUCAUCAAAGUGCCCGCAGUCCGCCGCCCGGGCUCGGAAAGCUGCUUCCUACUCCCGCUGCCGGGCGGCCCGGCUACUGAGCAUGCCCGGCGCGGCGACGGCUGCCAAAUGAGAGGACUUGAAGCUGAGGUUAAGCACUGAUUUCCCUUCCUAGGGGCCUAGCGUGAAAUGGAAGGGAACUAGCCGAGAGAGAGGAGGUGUAGCCCAUUUUAGAGACGGAAACACUGAGGCCUGGGAGGAUUCACGUGUGGUAAACUACCCAAGGACAGCAGAGAAGAGGGGAUACAUGCUCCCAGACAGGGUGGGCAAGGAGCCCUAAGAUAAUUCCUGUUUGAGAGACAUGGAUAUGAGCCACAGCUGAGGGUGCUCCGAGCUCAAAUGUUGCUUCGUAAUCUGCUCAGUAGAUCUUCAUUGAGCUUCUUAGAGCAGGGGUACCCAACCUCUGGGAUCUAAUGCCUGAUGAUCUGAGGUGGAGCUGAGGUAAUAAUAAUAGAAAUAAAGUGCAUA